CUCACAUCCUUCCUAUAGUUCAAAAGCAACACCAACUUCUGGUGACUUUAUUGUUUUGUAAUGCUGCUGCCAUGGAGGAUCAAAUUCCUCUAGAUGAUAAUGGAAAGUUAUGUCCAGAAAGAGGCUGCCAAGGCUCUUAACUGAGGCUCUAAACACCUCAUACCAGCAUGUUACUUGCUCUUCCAAGGUUCAUGAUGGUCUUUUUGUUCCUAUUACCACUGAAGAGCGAAAAAGAAACGAUUGAACCUGAACUUGUGGACAUCAUCAAUGUUGCCACAGUGAAGUCUGCUUAAGCGAUGGUCUGUGUACAAGUUUUUGUGAAAUCGUCAUGUGUUCUUUAAUUCUGCAGUUUUUCAUUUUGAAGUUACAUAUUGUAGUAGUUUGCCUGAAAGUAUGAGUUAAAGCGUACAAAAACAGGCUGCAAGUAUUAAUAAACAUGUUUUUCUGUAAACAUGC
Asparagus officinalis (garden asparagus) is the source of this 456-nucleotide long non-coding RNA. RefSeq lists it as uncharacterized. The transcript has 4 exons. The record is from RefSeq and is a predicted model, not a curated record. NCBI's taxonomy places the organism in Eukaryota, Viridiplantae, Streptophyta, Magnoliopsida, Asparagales, Asparagaceae.